AGUCACUGACAUUAGAUACCCGUGUAGUCCAGGGUGUAGACGCUGCAGACUUGGUGUUGGAAGCCCUUUGGGGGCAUUCAGUGCCGGAGAGAAGUUGUUAAGUCUGCUACUUGGGGAGUACGUCCGCAAGGAUGAAACUUAAAGGAAUUGGUGGGGGAGCACCGCAACGGGAGGAGCGUGCGGUUUAAUUGGAUUCAACACCGUAAAACUCACCAGGGAAGACUGUUACAUGAAGGCCGAGAUGAAGACUCUGCUAGAUUUUCAG
RNAcentral lists this ribosomal RNA (265 nucleotides) under uncultured archaeon. Its description in RNAcentral is "partial 16S ribosomal RNA". It matches the Rfam family "Archaeal small subunit ribosomal RNA", at positions 717 to 982 of the family's 1478-position model. The record is from RNAcentral.